GACUCUCAGCAAUGGAUAUCUCAGCUCUCACAUCGAUGAAGAACAUAGCGAAAUGCGGUACUUGGUGUGAAUUGUAGAAUCCCAUAAACCAUCGAGUCUUUGAACGCAAGUUGCGCCCUAGGCCAUCAGGCUAAGGGCACGCAGAGCAC
Ribosomal RNA from Macadamia integrifolia, 149 nucleotides. RefSeq annotates it as 5.8S ribosomal RNA. NCBI's taxonomy places the organism in Eukaryota, Viridiplantae, Streptophyta, Magnoliopsida, Proteales, Proteaceae. The transcript has a single exon. The record is from RefSeq and is a predicted model, not a curated record.